GACGAACGCUGGCGGCGUGCUUAACACAUGCAAGUCCAACGGAAAGGCCUGCUUUCCCUUGUGGAUUGCGGGUACUCGAGUGGCGAACGGGUGAGUAACACGUGAGUGAUCUGCCCCCAACUUGGGUAUAAGCCUGGGAAACUGGGUCUAAUUCCCGAUAGGACUGCAGGGUGGUGCCUGUGGUGGAAAACGAUUUUCUAGUGGUUGGGGAUGAGCUCGCGGCCUAUCAGCUUGUUGGUGGGGUAAUGGCCUACCAAGGCGGCGACGGGUAGCCGGCCUGAGAGGGUGGACGGCCACAUUGGGACUGAGAUACGGCCCAGACUCCUACGGGAGGCAGCAGUGGGGAAUAUUGCACAAUGGGCGGAAGCCUGAUGCAGCGACGCCGCGUGGGGGAUGACGGCCUUCGGGUUGUAAACUCCUUUCGACCGCGAGGAAGCCACCUGGUUGGAAGGGUGGUGACGGUAGUGGUAGAAGAAGCACCGGCUAACUACGUG
RNAcentral lists this ribosomal RNA (494 nucleotides) under uncultured bacterium. RNAcentral's name for it is "partial 16S ribosomal RNA". It matches the Rfam family "Bacterial small subunit ribosomal RNA", at positions 28 to 507 of the family's 1533-position model. The record is from RNAcentral.